RNAcentral lists this long non-coding RNA (2386 nucleotides) under Sus scrofa (pig). Its description in RNAcentral is "lncRNA (ENSSSCG00045012436.1)". Lineage: Eukaryota; Metazoa; Chordata; Mammalia; Artiodactyla; Suidae. The record is from RNAcentral.
UGAGCAGUGGAUCCCAUAGCCCAACAGCUCAAGUCCUUGGUCAAAUGUGAUUCCUGCACUGAAUCUAUAAGGUACAGUCUCUAGCCUCCACAGCUGCAAUCAUGUACCUAUAUAGUGUGUAUAUCUGUGCCUAUAUAUGUAUACAUUCAAAUGCUGGAGUAAGUCAACAACAUCCAUCAAAAGGAACUUCAAAAGAUGGGUUGCAAUCUCAACUCUAUGCAUUAGGAUAACACAGCCUCUCUUAAUAUAUAUAUAGAAUACAUAUAGCCUUUCUCAAAUACAUAUAGAAUGGCUUACACAUAAUAAAAAAAGGUAUUUCUUGUCAUGUAAAGGAUAAUAUGUAUGCUCUUAAUUGAUGGGGACCUGUCCAUCAAGUGGCUACAUAGGGAUUCAAUCUUCUUCUGCCAUUUAUCUCUAUCAGAGCUAUCCCAUGGUCUUCAAGGUCCCUGCACGAAUUUGUACCAAGCUUGCCAAAGGAAAAAUAAUAGAACAAGAACUACAAAGACUAUGGGCUAUGCCUGGAAGUGAAGCUAUGUACUUUCCAACACUUUAUGUUUUCUAGAAAUCUAAAACAGGACCAUAGUCACUGCAGAAGCUGGGAAGUGAAGUCAAGUGUGGGCUCAGAGUAAAACAGAGAAAGAUUUGGUUAGCAGCUAACAGUCUUCAUCACACUUUAUACAUGUCCAGUCCUGUGAUUUAAACAAAUUCACAGAUGUUCUAAGAGCAUUAGGUUAUUAACAUGUAAAAUGGAGAAAAUUAUGCCAAUCUACCUCCUACAAAAAUUUGCUACAUAAUGGAAUUCCCAUGUGGCUCAGUUUUGUCACUGCAGUGGGUCAGGUAACUGCUGUGGCAUGGUUUGACUCCUGGCUCAGGAACUUCUGUAUACUGCCUGUGACACCAAAAAAAAAAAAUAGUGCACAAAAAAAAUACUAUAUAAGAUCAAGUAUAUUAAGGCAUAUAGUGAGAUUUUUUGAAUUUUUUAAAAAUCAUUUUAUGUAAUUGCAGAGUGAUAUUGAGAUUAAUUCUUUUUUUUUUUUUUUUUUUUGGUCUUUUUAGAGCCACACCAGUGGCAUAUGGAAAUUCCCUAGGGGUCAAAUUGGAGCUGCAGCCACUGGCUACACCACAGCCACAGCAAUGCCAGAUCCUUAACCCACUGAGCUAGGCCAGGGAUCGAACCUGCAUCCUCAUGGAUACUAGUCAGAUUUGUUUCCAAUGAGCCAUGAUGGGAAUUCCCUGAGACCUACUCAUUCAGGAGCCUACCCAUGUCCUCUGUGUGCCAGUGCUUGAGAAGAAAGCAAAACUGAUUUCUGUCUUCAUGAUCAUGGGUGGUGCUUUUAAGAGAGCAUAUGAGUGGAAAGAUAGGGGUAAAAUGUUGGUUAUGUUAGCAGGUGAAAGGUAAGGGGUCUAGACAUUGGAGGAGACAUUUCCAGCCUGAGAGGUGAAAGCUCAGAGAGGAAUCUUCCAUGAUAUGAAAACGUGCUGCUGAAGCACCAUCAUUGUAUGUUGGUAGAUGACUUAGAAUGGAUUUGGACUAGAGGAGGAAGGGACCUUGGCGGCCAUCACAAAGCAUAUGGAUUAUCAAUGAAGUGCAGUGAGAAGCCUUAUGAACUCUUUACAUUAAAUUUCUUAUGUUCAGAUUUGAGUGAUAUUAACUUGGGAAAAGGUAUUUUAACAUAUAUUUCAAUAAAAAUAAAGAUCACUAAUUUUAAAAUAGAAUAACAGCAAUGAGAGCAAAAACUUGUUAGUUUACUACUGUUUUAGUAAAUUCUAGAAAAAGCCUUUGACUACACUCUGCCUUAGUUCUCAACUCUACCAUAGUCCUGCCACAGGAUUCCUGAGUGUGAUAUAUACACCCCCAUUGAUUUUUACUUGGGAAUUACCAUAGAAGCUGAAUUAGCCAUGAUUGUUGUGGCAGAGAUGGUAGCAUUCAAGAGCUCUCUUCAUCUUUCUUUACAUUUUUCAGUCUCUCUUGAUAGGAUAUGUAGUUCAUAGUAGGUUAGGUUUAGUAGUUCAUUAUGAUACAUGAGUUCUAUGUAGAAAUGGCACGUGCUAUCUGUGGAUCAAGUUAAGAGUGUUCCAUACCUUCUUCUUCCAUUUUGUGACCCUGGAGGCAAGGUGCUGAUAGGAUAGAUUUCUAAGUUUGUGCAUCUUUCAGCAGUCUAGGCCCUUGAAUGUCUCUGUGAGCACAAUGCACCGCCCUCACCGCCAUUUGACAAGCAUGGUAUGUGUAGUGUAAAAAAUCAAACCUUGUUGCAUUAAAUCACUGCAAAUUUGGGGUUAGGUUUUUACUAUAUAGCUCAUCUAAAAUGUGUGUUGUGCCUUAAUGUCUCUAAGAAGGAAAGAAGACCAAAGACCUCCUUUUUUAUAGGUACCAGAAGUAAAAGCA